AUUGAACGCUGGCGGCAUGCCUUACACAUGCAAGUCGAACGGUAACAGGGUGCUUGCACCGCUGACGAGUGGCGAACGGGUGAGUAAUGCGUCGGAACGUGCCGAGUAGUGGGGGAUAACGCAGCGAAAGUUGUGCUAAUACCGCAUACGUACUGAGGUAGAAAGUGGGGGACUUUCGGGCCUCACGCUAUUCGAGCGGCCGACGCUGGAUUAGCUAGACGGUGAGGUAAAGGCUCCCCUAGGCGACGAGCAGUAGCGGGUCUGGGAGGAUGAUCCGCCACACUGGGACUGAGACACGGCCCAGACUCCUACGGGAGGCAGCAGUGGGGAAUUUUGGACAAUGGGCGAAAGCCUGAUCCAGCCAUGCCGCGUGUCUGAAGAAGGCCUUCGGGUUGUAAAGGACUUUUGUCAGGGAGGAAAUCCCUAGUGCUAAUAACACUGGGGGAUGACAGUACCUGAAGAAUAAGCACCGGCUAACUACGUGCCAGCCGCCGCGGUAA
RNAcentral lists this ribosomal RNA (500 nucleotides) under uncultured bacterium. RNAcentral describes it as "partial 16S ribosomal RNA". It matches the Rfam family "Bacterial small subunit ribosomal RNA", at positions 30 to 523 of the family's 1533-position model. The record is from RNAcentral.